UUGAACGCUGGCGGCAGGCCUAACACAUGCAAGUCGAACGGUAACAGGAAGAAGCUUGCUUCUUUGCUGACGAGUGGCGGACGGGUGAGUAAUGUCUGGGAAACUGCCUGAUGGAGGGGGAUAACUACUGGAAACGGUAGCUGAUACCGCAUAACGUCGCAAGACCAAAAAGGGGGACCUUCGGGCCUCUUGCCAUCGGAUGUGCCCAGAUGGGAUUAGCUAGUAGGUGGGGUAACGGCUCACCUAGGCGACGAUCCCUAGCUGGUCUGAGAGGAUGACCAGCCACACUGGAACUGAGACACGGUCCAGACUCCUACGGGAGGCAGCAGUGGGGAAUAUUGCACAAUGGGCGCAAGCCUGAUGCAGCCAUGCCGCGUGUAUGAAGAAGGCCUUCGGGUUGUAAAGUACUUUCAGCGGGGAGGAAGGGAGUAAAGUUAAUACCUUUGCUCAUUGACGUUACCCGCAGAAGAAGCACCGGCUAACUCCGUG
Molecule: ribosomal RNA, 489 nt
Filed under: uncultured bacterium
Lineage: Bacteria
Description: partial 16S ribosomal RNA
Rfam family: Bacterial small subunit ribosomal RNA
Source: RNAcentral